GACAGAGGAGCCAAGCGUUGUCCGGAUUGACUGGGCGUAAAGCGCACGCAGGCGGGUGCGCACGUGGGGUGUGAAAUCGGCGCGCUUAACGCGCCAUCGCCAUCCCAUACGGCGCGCCUGGAGCCUUGCAGAGGGCGGUGGAAUUGCCGGUGUAGUGGUGAAAUGCGCAGAUAUCGGGAGGAACACCCGUAGCGAAGGCGGCACUCUGGGCCGGAACUGACGCUGAGGAGCGAAAGCGUGGGGAGCAAACAGG
RNAcentral lists this ribosomal RNA (253 nucleotides) under uncultured bacterium. RNAcentral describes it as "partial 16S ribosomal RNA". It matches the Rfam family "Bacterial small subunit ribosomal RNA", at positions 524 to 776 of the family's 1533-position model. The record is from RNAcentral.